Molecule: ribosomal RNA, 740 nt
Filed under: uncultured eukaryote
Lineage: Eukaryota
Description: bacterial SSU rRNA
Rfam family: Eukaryotic small subunit ribosomal RNA
Source: RNAcentral
GUGCGUACUGCUCCAGUCCUCUUUCGGGAGGCGGCUCUGCCCUUGCCGCGUCCUCCAUGGCGCUCUCGGGUGCCAUGGCGGGACAGGCAGUUACCUUGAAAAAAUUAGAGUGUUCAAAGCAGGCGCAUGCCCGGAUAGUUCAGCAUGGAAUAACGGAAUAGGACCUUGGUUCUGUUUUGCUGGUUCCCAGGACCACGGUAAUGAUCAACAGGGACAGUUGGGGGCACUCGUAUUUCAUUGCUAGAGGUGAAAUUCUUGGAUUUAUGAAGGACGAACUUUUGCGAAAGCAUCUGCCAAGGAUGUUCUCAUUAAUCAAGAACGAAAGUUGGGGGAUCGAAGACGAUUAGAUACCGUCGUAGUCUCGACUGUAAACGAUGCCGACUAGGGAUCGCGCGGUGUUGGAUUCGACCCGCGCGGCACCUCGCGAGAAAUCAAAGUGUCUGGGUUCCGGGGGGAGUAUGGUCGCAAGGCUGAAACUUAAAGGAAUUGACGGAAGGGCACCACCAGGAGUGGAGCCUGCGGCUUAAUUUGACUCAACACGGGGAAACUCACCAGGUCCGGACAUGGCGAGGAUUGACAGAUUGAGAGCUCUUUCUUGAUUCCAUGGAUGGUGGUGCAUGGCCGUUCUUAGUUGGUGGAGUGAUUUGUCUGCUUAAUUGCGAUAACGAACGAGACCUUGGUCUGCUAACUAGCGACGCGCGUCUGCGGACGGGCGGCACGCUUCUUAGAGAGACUGUGCG